This 1275-nucleotide long non-coding RNA is filed under the name Actinidia chinensis (golden kiwifruit). RNAcentral's name for it is "long non-coding RNA (ACHI_LNC006153)". The record is from RNAcentral. Lineage: Eukaryota; Viridiplantae; Streptophyta; Magnoliopsida; Ericales; Actinidiaceae.
AAGUGAAAGUAGUGAAAAAGGGAGAAUUCUUCAAGGUUAAGAAUUCUCCAAAAUUUUCUAAACUUGUGCAAAAAGCUCCCUUAAUGUUGUGAUUCCCUUCACAUAUAUAGAUAUUGGAAGAUCUUGAAUGAAAGAACCAAAACACUCUUAAAAAGGUAGCCUUCAAUAUUGACUUUGAGGGUUUCUUCGACUGAUUGGAAUAGAGUCCAACGGGACAAACUCCUUUCUUUAUUAUUGUGUUUCUCUGGUUCUCAACCAGUUAAGGAUAAAGUUAAAUCGGUUGAGAUGUUGCCCUAUUUCUCCUUUGCUUCCAAGUUCAAUCGGUUGAGGAUCAAUCUUCGACUGUUUGGGAAUUUAUGUUUGCAUUCAACCGGUAGAAAUGUUCAAUCGGACAAGACACUCCAUCUGAUGCUUAUGCUCUUCUUCUACUGGCUGAAGAUAGAUCCUCGACCGGUUGAACAUUCUGAACUUUUACUUCUGUGUUCUUCCUACCGUAGUACCUAAAUGUUUAACUGGUAGACUUGAAGAAACCCUAAACUUAGUGCAACCAACUACCAAUCACUACUGGUUCGAUUCAUCGCCUCUUUCGACCUCCGUCAUGCUCCAUUGUACCUACAAAACAGUUAACCCCACUUGCACCAAAUAAUGAUUAAGUAGAAUAAAUAAUAUGCGUAAAUAUACUAAAGUGCAGGGGAACUAUACCGAUGAAUAGCUAUAAAAUGAAUGAAUUACUUUCACGUGAAAAGGUUAUAAAUAUAGACCACUCAUUCAGAAUUCAUAUAGCCUCACUUAAUAUAAAUAAUAAACUCACGCCCUUCUUCGCCUCUAGAUUUCAAAUUUCAUCCCAAAUAAAACAAGGAAAUAGUUCUAGAGUAGGGAGUAGGGGUAGGGGUAGGGGCAGAGGUCGGAGUCGGAGUGAUAACCACAUAAGAGCUAUAGGACCACAAUAGCGUAGGAAUCGCCUCGUUUUAUAGAAAAGGAUAUUGUUGUCUCAUACUAUGACAACAACCACUAUCAAUUGCUACCUGAACUACAUCCUAGCUUACUACCGGAACGGCUAUGACAACAACCACUAUCAAUUGCUACCUGAACUACAUCCUAGCUUACUACCGGAACGGCUAUGACAACAACCACUAUCAAUUGCUACCUGAACUAUAGCCUAGCUUACUACCGGAACGGAAGACUAUAUUUUGUAUGUCCCGAAUGACAGUACCAUCUCUACAACAAAAUCUCUAGUGAAAAUUAAAGUAUGAUAAUUAAUGUUGCUUGGAAUCU